Molecule: ribosomal RNA, 253 nt
Filed under: uncultured bacterium
Lineage: Bacteria
Description: partial 16S ribosomal RNA
Rfam family: Bacterial small subunit ribosomal RNA
Source: RNAcentral
UACGUAGGGUGCGAGCGUUGUCCGGAAUUAUUGGGCGUAAAGAGCUCGUAGGCGGUCUGUCGCGUCUGCUGUGAAAACCCGAGGCUCAACCUCGGGCCUGCAGUGGGUACGGGCAGACUAGAGUGCGGUAGGGGAGAAUGGAAUUCCUGGUGUAGCGGUGGAAUGCGCAGAUAUCAGGAGGGACACCGAUGGCGAAGGCAGUUCUCUGGGCAGUAACUGACGCUGAGGAGCGAAAGCGUGGGGAGCGAACAGG